AUGAACGCUGGCGGCGUGCCUAAUCCAUGCAAGUCGAGCGAACAGACGAGGAGCUUGCUCCUCUGACGUUAGCGGCGGACGGGUGAGUAACACGUGGAUAACCUACCUAUAAGACUGGGAUAACUUCGGGAAACCGGAGCUAAUACCGGAUAAUAUAUUGAACCGCAUGGUUCAAUAGUGAAAGACGGUUUUGCUGUCACUUAUAGAUGGAUCCGCGCCGCAUUAGCUAGUUGGUAAGGUAACGGCUUACCAAGGCAACGAUGCGUAGCCGACCUGAGAGGGUGAUCGGCCACACUGGAACUGAGACACGGUCAAGACUCCUACGGGAGGCAGCAGUAGGGAAUCUUCCGCAAUGGGCGAAAGCCUGACGGAGAAACGCAGCGUGAGUGAUGAAGGUCUUCGGAUCGUAAAACUCUGUUAUUAGGGAAGAACAAAUGUGUAAGUAACUAUGCACGUCUUGACGGUACCUAAUCAGAAAGCCACGGCUAACUACGUG
RNAcentral lists this ribosomal RNA (496 nucleotides) under uncultured bacterium. RNAcentral describes it as "partial 16S ribosomal RNA". It matches the Rfam family "Bacterial small subunit ribosomal RNA", at positions 29 to 507 of the family's 1533-position model. The record is from RNAcentral.